CCGGCAUUUUUCUCUAAAUCGGCAGUAAAUACAGCUGAGUAAAAUUAGCUUGGUUUUCUUCCUUCUUUUGUAACUGAACUGUUUUUAUUAAAAAUUCUAUUUGAAUAUGUAGAAAAAGUGGGGAUGUCCUGUAAUAUAUCGUAGCUUUUCUUGUUUACAGGGUGCUCAGAAAGCAUGCGUCCCUUAGAGUCCCACAGAAAGGUUCUCAGUGCGCUCUCUAUCAAGGUAUGUAUUUACAAAUAAGUGAUCCCUUUAGAUAUUUGCCUGUGUACCUUUUCCUGUAAUUCAGAGCUUGCGUUCUGUGGGUUGUAUGAUAAAGCUGUAAAACAUGUAAGAAUGGUUUUGCAAGUCUGAAUCGUUGAAGGCAGCAAUAAGUGGAUUUAGAGCCUGUUCUUGAGCAGACAAAGGGAAAAAGUGUGACUCUGAUGCUGAACUUGUCAUUUUUCAUUUGACUUGUCUUGAAUGAUUUAGGAAUAGAGAGAACUAGAAAAAGAGAGAAAUAGAAUCGAUUAUUGAGCAGUCCUCAAAUGCUCACCAUAAUUCAGUGUAGAGCCAAAGGGAAGGGUGAUGGAACAGAGCUCUGUGCUUUGGAAGGAAAUAAAUUUAAACCUGAUCUCCACACAGAGUCUCACUAACUUCUGUGGUUUUAAAAUACAAAAUACGUUUAGGAAGUGUUGGAAGUUAGUAUUUUGGGAAAGAAACGGCAGUUCCACAGAACAUUCCAUUUCACAGAGGCUCUAGGAAGGAUUCAUGUUGUAACUGCUGUCACUGCAAUCAGUUGGUGGUUCAGCCUUGAAACGUGCACUUGGCCUUCUAUAAAGCGCUGUUUUGUUUGCCUUUCAUUGCUAUGAGUCUUGAUAAAUUGGAGAAGAGCCCAAGAGAAAUUUUUCAUCCCUUGAUAUAAAAGGGAUCGGUGAAUUUUAACUUUGGAGUCCUCUAUGCUAAGGAUGCUCAGCUUACAGAUGAUGAAAUGUUCAGUAAUGGGAAAGACUCUCAUAUCCUCGUCGUCGGGCUCGGUGCUGUCCAAGAAGAUACAGAGACUAAAAAAAUCAUAAGAAGCAAAAUAUGACUGCAGGGAAAAGAAGCUGGAGAGAACAGAAUAAAUGGAAUUGGGACGACGCCUCGGCCAGCCCCUCUCUGCCAUCGUCUCCUGAAUCUGCAGCAGAGCAGUUCCAGUCCAUCCAGGCACGUGCAAUCCAGUUCCUGAUGAUCUGAGCACACGGAGCAGCGCUCAGCUGCUGUGGGGGGCUCAGGGAAGGCAGAGUGUGCAUUGUCAUCUUCCUGAACCUACAGACAAAUCAAAGUGAGAAGCCACAGGGUGGAAAUCAGUUGCAUAUAUGCUAAACAAAACUUGCAGGUUGUUUUUAAGAAUUGUUUUUGCUUGUUCUUUGUUGUGCUUCUGUGCUUAGAAAACCUCCCUUUAAAAUCAGUUCAGUUCAUCAGUUGAACCUUUGUUUGCAGACCCUCACUGAGCAGAAUUUGUUGCAGACUCAGUGCACGCUGUGCCGGCCUCCCGGGAGUGUGAGGAGCUCAUGUGUGCUACUUUUUGCUUUAGGACGCUCUGAGGUAUUUAUUCCUUUUGGGAUACGUGAUGAGAAUUCCCAAGAGAGGUAGUUAUAAGGUAUGACAUUGGGAAAAAGCCUGUGUGGUUGGAAUGUUGUUGCUGUCAAAAGUUAAUUUUUCCUUCAUUCUUAGCCAGUAGUUAGCUUUUUGCUUUAUUUUUGUGGUAUCAGUAUUUUAUUGUUUAAAAAAUUCCUUCAAAAUAACUUCAGUGGUUGCCCACCAGUAUCUUGUUCAGAUUUGCCUAUUUGCUUGUAGCUGAAAUGUUCACAUCUUGUUUAUCAUUCUGUUUAAGAAACUGCUGCCCAGCCAACUAAUAACUGAAUAUCCAUCUGUCUGGGACACGGGGAGAGGAUUUAGGUAAUGUCUUUGUUUCCAGAAAAAAGUUCCAGUGAAGUUUCUAAAUAGAGGAGAAGGGGGUGAAGACUCAGGGCUCUGAUGCCGUUGGGGCACCCCAAGGUCCCCAGGAGAGGGAGCGGUGCAGGAGCAGGUGUGUUCUCAUCUAAUAUUGAACAAAUUAUAAAUAUAAAUAUGAAAAUUAUAAACAUGAAAAUAUUUUUAAAAUACUUAAAUAAAGCGGGUUUUCUUUAUUGGUCAAUA
This is a long non-coding RNA of Melospiza melodia melodia, 2160 nucleotides long. RefSeq lists it as uncharacterized. The record is from RefSeq and is a predicted model, not a curated record. Lineage: Eukaryota; Metazoa; Chordata; Aves; Passeriformes; Passerellidae. The transcript is spliced from 4 exons.